This 465-nucleotide ribosomal RNA is filed under the name uncultured Klebsiella sp. RNAcentral's name for it is "bacterial SSU rRNA". It matches the Rfam family "Bacterial small subunit ribosomal RNA", at positions 338 to 795 of the family's 1533-position model. Lineage: Bacteria; Pseudomonadati; Pseudomonadota; Gammaproteobacteria; Enterobacterales; Enterobacteriaceae. The record is from RNAcentral.
CCUACGGGGGGCUGCAGUGGGGAAUAUUGCACAAUGGGCGCAAGCCUGAUGCAGCCAUGCCGCGUGUGUGAAGAAGGCCUUCGGGUUGUAAAGCACUUUCAGCGGGGAGGAGGGCGGUGAGGUUAAUAACCUCAUCGAUUGACGUUACCCGCAGAAGAAGCACCGGCUAACUCCGUGCCAGCAGCCGCGGUAAUACGGAGGGUGCAAGCGUUAAUCGGAAUUACUGGGCGUAAAGCGCACGCAGGCGGUCUGUCAAGUCGGAUGUGAAAUCCCCGGGCUCAACCUGGGAACUGCAUUCGAAACUGGCAGGCUAGAGUCUUGUAGAGGGGGGUAGAAUUCCAGGUGUAGCGGUGAAAUGCGUAGAGAUCUGGAGGAAUACCGGUGGCGAAGGCGGCCCCCUGGACAAAGACUGACGCUCAGGUGCGGAAGCGUGGGGAGCAAACAGGAUUAGAUACCCCUGUAGUC